RNAcentral lists this ribosomal RNA (433 nucleotides) under uncultured bacterium. RNAcentral's name for it is "bacterial SSU rRNA". It matches the Rfam family "Bacterial small subunit ribosomal RNA", at positions 957 to 1391 of the family's 1533-position model. The record is from RNAcentral.
GAACGCGAAGAACCUUACCAUCCCUUGACAUGGCAUGCGAGCCGGAGAGAUCCGGUGUUCCCUUCGGGGACGUGCACACAGGUGCUGCAUGGCUGUCGUCAGCUCGUGUCGUGAGAUGUUGGGUUAAGUCCCGCAACGAGCGCAACCCACGUCCCUAGUUGCCAUCAUUUGGUUGGGCACUCUGGGGAGACUGCCGGUGAUAAGCCGCGAGGAAGGUGUGGAUGACGUCAAGUCCUCAUGGCCCUUACGGGGUGGGCUACACACGUGCUACAAUGGCGGUGACAAUGGGCAGCGAAGGGGCGACCUGGAGCGAAUCCCCAAAAGCCGUCUCAGUUCGGAUUGCACUCUGCAACUCGGGUGCAUGAAGGCGGAAUCGCUAGUAAUCGUGGAUCAGCACGCCACGGUGAAUACGUUCCCGGGUCUUGUACACACC